This 1074-nucleotide ribosomal RNA is filed under the name Triticum aestivum (bread wheat). RNAcentral describes it as "partial small subunit ribosomal RNA". Lineage: Eukaryota; Viridiplantae; Streptophyta; Magnoliopsida; Poales; Poaceae. The record is from RNAcentral.
AUGUCCGGGCUCCCCUUCGACAGCGGCGAGUACUUCGCGUCCGUCGGCGUGGGCACCCCGUCCACCAGCGAGCUGCUGGUCAUCGACACCGGGAGCGACCUCAUCUGGCUCCAGUGCAAACCCUGCCGCCGCUGCCACCGCCAGAUGAGCCCGCUCUACGACCCCAAGGGCUCCAGCACCUACCGCCAGAUCCCCUGCUCGUCGCCGCGGUGCUUCCCUCGCCAUGGCUGCGACACCAGCACCGGGGCCUGCGGGUACGCCAUGGUCUACGGCGACGGCUCCGGCAGCAGGGGCAACCUCGCCACCGACAGGCUCGUCUUCUCCAACGACACGUCCGUGGACAGCGUCGUCAUCGGGUGCGGCCACGACAACGCGGAGCUGUUCGACUCGUCGGCCGGGGUGCUGGGCGUCGGCCGCGGCGCCGGCUCCCUGGCGACGCAGGUGGCGCCGACCUACGGGCGCUACUUCGCCUACUGCCUCGGCGACCGCACGUCCGUCGCGCGGAGCAGCGCCUCGUACCUCGCCUUCGGCCGCACGCCGGAGCCGCCGUCCACGGCCUUCACCCCGCUGCUGUCCAACCCGCGGCGCCCCAACCUGUACUACGUGAACAUGGCCGGCUUCAGCGUCGGCGGCGAGCGUGUCGCCGGCGGGUUCUGCAGCUCCAGCCUCUGGCUCGACCCGGCGACCGGGCGGGGCGGCGUGGUGGUGGACUCGGGCACGUCCAUAUCGCGGCUCCCCAGGGAUGUGUACGCGGCGCUGCGCGACGCCUUCGACGCGCGCGCGGCCGCGGCCGGGAUGCGGAGGCUGGCGCGGGGCAUCUCGGUGUUCGACGCGUGCUACGAGCUCCGAGGCGCCAGCGUGCCGGCGGUGGUGCUGCACUUCGCUGGCGGCGCGGACGUAGCGCUGCCCCCGGAGAACUACUUCAUACCCGAGCAGGGCGGGAAGUACCACUGCCUGGCGCUGGAGGCGACGGACGACGGGCUCACCGUGCUCGGCAACGUCCUGCAGCAGGGAUUCCGGGUCGUGUUCGAUGUCGAGAAAGAACGUGUCGGGUUCGCGCCAAAUGGCUGCUAA